Lagenorhynchus albirostris (white-beaked dolphin) is the source of this 647-nucleotide long non-coding RNA. RefSeq lists it as uncharacterized. The record is from RefSeq and is a predicted model, not a curated record. The transcript is spliced from 2 exons. Lineage: Eukaryota; Metazoa; Chordata; Mammalia; Artiodactyla; Delphinidae.
AGGUCGGGCCGGCGCGGUUGACCGCGUGUCGGUUGUGGCCCCGGCCUGGCCUGGAUGGGCGUCGGCCCCGGAAGAACCACCCCCUCACUCCCGGGAAUGCCCAGUCACCAUUUCCGAAGGACGGGCGUGCGGGGCCGCGGGGCACACUAGCCGGGGUCUCUGUCCCCUGGAAGGAGAGAAAGAGAUUUAACCGGGCGCCCCGCAAGUCACUGGCUGAAUCGGGCUCAAAUUGUGACUUUAGAGAAUGUGUGUUUCUUAAGCAACCUGGGGGUUCGAAGGACGUGGAAUUCAAAACAACUGACAUCCAGAGAUGCCGUGCGGUUCUGAACUCUCGGCCCGUUUCUCUACCCGUUGAUCUCUCCUUCCUCCCCCUCGCACGUGUGCGCUCUGGGCAGUUUCCGAAAUGAAGACACGAUGCUUGUCUUCACAUUUUAGUAAAAUUGAAUGUUUUCUGCCUCUCUGUGAUCUUUAUCACAAGAUCAGAUUUGUAUUUCUUGGAAGCAUGGGAGUUCCCUGCUGACCUAGUGGUUAGGAUUCCGAGCUUUCAAUGCCUUGGCCCGGCUUCAAUCCCUGAUCGGGGAACUGAGAUCCAGCGAGCCACACCGUGGGGCAAAAAAAAAAAAAAAAAAGUAUUUCUUGGAAACAGA